RNAcentral lists this ribosomal RNA (253 nucleotides) under uncultured bacterium. RNAcentral's name for it is "partial 16S ribosomal RNA". It matches the Rfam family "Bacterial small subunit ribosomal RNA", at positions 524 to 776 of the family's 1533-position model. The record is from RNAcentral.
UACGGAGGGUGCAAGCGUUGUCCGGAUUUAUUGGGUUUAAAGGGUGCGUAGGCGGCCGUUUAAGUCUGGGGUGAAAGCCCGCUGCUCAACAGCGGAACUGCCCUGGAUACUGGAUGGCUUGAGUACAGACGAGGUUGGCGGAAUGGACAGAGUAGCGGUGAAAUGCAUAGAUACUGUCCAGAACCCCGAUUGCGAAGGCAGCUGACUAGGCUGUUACUGACGCUGAGGCACGAAAGCGUGGGGAGCGAACAGG